Molecule: ribosomal RNA, 400 nt
Filed under: uncultured bacterium
Lineage: Bacteria
Description: bacterial SSU rRNA
Rfam family: Bacterial small subunit ribosomal RNA
Source: RNAcentral
CAGGCCUAACACAUGCAAGUCGAGCGGAGUGAUGGUGCUUGCACCAUCACUUAGCGGCGAACGGGUGAGUAAUGCCUAGGAAUCUGCCCAUUAGCGGGGGACAACGUGUGGAAACGCACGCUAAUACCGCAUACGCCCUACGGGGGAAAGCAGGGGACUCUUUGAGCCUUGCACUAAUGGAUGAGCCUAGGUCAGAUUAGCUAGUUGGUGGGGUAAAGGCCUACCAAGGCGACGAUCUGUAGCGGGUCUGAGAGGAUGAUCCGCCACACUGGAACUGAGACACGGUCCAGACUCCUACGGGAGGCAGCAGUGGGGAAUAUUGGACAAUGGGCGCAAGCCUGAUCCAGCCAUGCCGCGUGUGUGAAGAAGGCCUUUUGGUUGUAACGCACCUUAAGCGAGG